GACGAACGCUGGCGGCGUGCUUAACACAUGCAAGUCGAACGAUGAAGCUAGAGCUUGCUCUGGUGAAUUAGUGGCGAACGGGUGAGUAACACGUGAGUAACCUGCCCCGAACUCUGGGAUAACUGCUGGAAACGGUAGCUAAUACUGGAUACGACCUACGAAGGCAUCUUCUGUAGGUGGAAAGAAUUUCGGUUCGGGAUGGACUCGCGGCCUAUCAGCUUGUUGGUGAGGUAAUGGCUCACCAAGGCGACGACGGGUCGCCGGCCUGAGAGGGUGACCGGCCACACUGGGACGUAGGCACGGACCAGACUCCUACAGGAGGCAGCAGGGGGGAAUAUUGCACAAUGGGCGCAAGCCUGAUGCAGCAACGCCGCGUGAAGGAUGACGGCCUUCGGGUUGUAAACCUCUUUUAGUAGGGAAGAAGCGAAAGUGACGGUACCUGCAGAAAAAACACCGGCUAACUACGUGCCAGCCGCCGCCGUAA
This 484-nucleotide ribosomal RNA is filed under the name uncultured bacterium. RNAcentral's name for it is "partial 16S ribosomal RNA". It matches the Rfam family "Bacterial small subunit ribosomal RNA", at positions 28 to 523 of the family's 1533-position model. The record is from RNAcentral.